Molecule: signal recognition particle RNA, 264 nt
Filed under: Bacillota bacterium
Lineage: Bacteria; Bacillati; Bacillota
Description: Firmicutes bacterium (anaerobic digester metagenome) signal recognition particle sRNA large type
Rfam family: Bacterial large signal recognition particle RNA
About the family: The signal recognition particle (SRP) is a universally conserved ribonucleoprotein involved in the co-translational targeting of proteins to membranes. Archaeal SRP consists of a 7S RNA and homologues of the eukaryotic SRP19 and SRP54 proteins.
Source: RNAcentral
CCGUGCUAGACGGGGAGGUAGCGGUGCCCUGUACCCGCAAUCCGCUAUAGCGGGGUCGAAGGCUCGCCUGAGGCUGCGUUUUGUGGGGUUAGGCUGGUGUAAGUGGCGUUGACGAUUGGGUCUUGCGCAAUGCAAACCUGUGAACCCCGUCAGAUCCGGAAGGAAGCAGCGGUAAGCAGACUUUUGCAUGUGCCGCAAGGAAGCCUGGUCUGAGCUAACUGCACCUGUACCACCCGGAAGGCGCAGUCGAAGCGAGAUGCACGG